RNAcentral lists this ribosomal RNA (292 nucleotides) under uncultured bacterium. RNAcentral describes it as "partial 16S ribosomal RNA". It matches the Rfam family "Bacterial small subunit ribosomal RNA", at positions 505 to 796 of the family's 1533-position model. The record is from RNAcentral.
GUGCCAGCAGCCGCGGUAAUACGUAGGGAGCAAGCGUUGUUCGGAUUUACUGGGCGUAAAGGGCGCGUAGGCGGCGUGUUAAGUCAGCUGUGAAAUCUCCAAGCUCAACUUGGAACGGCCAGCUGAUACUGAUGUGCUAGAGUGCAGAAGGGGCAAUCGGAAUUCUUGGUGUAGCGGUGAAAUGCGUAGAUAUCAAGAGGAACACCUGAGGUGAAGACGGGUUGCUGGGCUGACACUGACGCUGAGGCGCGAAAGCCAGGGGAGCAAACGGGAUUAGAUACCCCCGUAGUCC